AAAUAAAAAAAUAAAAAAUAAAAUGUUAGGAAAUAAUUUCCAAUUGUAAUGUCACUAAACCAGGAGUCCGGAACUACAAUCAAAUGGUGAUGAUAAAGAUACAGAGGCUCAAACAAGAUGAAGUUAUCUACCAAUUCAAGUAUCAUGAAGCAUCAAACAACAGAGUAAUCUAUGGCAGACAUGUCCACUGGUCGAAAAAUUUUAAAACUUCGGAUUCUUUUGGUCUUCAAAAUGUGGUUGCAUUUUCAACCAAAAAUAAAAAAUAAACAAAUAAAGGGAAAAAAAGCACAAGUCAGCUUGAACAAGUUCCCUGAAGGAAACAAUUUCAUUCAAUUACAAUUCAAUCAAAUUAAUAUCAAAAACAUAUGUUAUGGGUACUUAAAAUACUUAACUGCCAUGAGAUGCUGGGGCUCCCUCGAAGUUCUUUGAAGCUCAUUCUGUCAUUAGGUAGAUAUCAAAAUUUUCUAACCGUGUUGUCAGCCAAAAUUGUCACCUCAACCAAUGUUAUUGAAAGGUCCCACAAGUAA
This 527-nucleotide unclassified non-coding RNA is filed under the name Hevea brasiliensis (rubber tree). The record is from RNAcentral. Lineage: Eukaryota; Viridiplantae; Streptophyta; Magnoliopsida; Malpighiales; Euphorbiaceae.